RNAcentral lists this unclassified non-coding RNA (255 nucleotides) under fungal sp. RNAcentral describes it as "partial internal transcribed spacer region". The stretch from base 1 to 46 matches the Rfam family "Eukaryotic small subunit ribosomal RNA", at positions 1786 to 1831 of the family's 1831-position model. The record is from RNAcentral. Lineage: Eukaryota; Fungi.
AAGUCGUAACAAGGUUUCCGUAGGUGAACCUGCGGAAGGAUCAUUAGUGAAUUUUAGGGUGCCUUACUAUUUCGAUAGUUAAGGGCCUGACCUCCACUCUCUAACACUUGUGCACUAAAAAUUAGUGAUUGAAAAAGUUCUUUUAAGUAAGGACUUGACUAGAUCACUUUUUUCCAUAUUACAAUACUCUAAAGUUAAAGAAUGUAACAAAAACAUAACAAAAUAAAACUUUCAACAACGGAUCUCUUGGCUCUC